CCACUCAAGGGAGUUUUUGGUUGUGUGUCAGUGACCUAAUCAAUACUGGAUUGGAUUGGUUGGUAAAUCCAGUGUAUUUUAAGGCACCAGAGUGUGUCAGCUUAGUGUCACGGCACUCUAUAUUUCCAAGUCAGACGCCUUUUAAUUGAAUUCAACUGGAGCGAGACAAGAUGGAUGGUGUGGAGCUGUAGAGGGACUGAGGCGGGUGAAAGCGGCCGCGCAGCGAGCACUCUGAGCGGGCACACGGAGCGAGUGGACGCUGAUGGAUCAUGAGAGGGGCCGCCGGAGGAGAGCGCGGCCGGAAAGAGCGCCUGCUCGCUGGGCGCGCAUGUGAGGAUCCGCCCGGGAGGCAGACGGAGCUCUGGAUGUGUCAGUCAAACUGAGUUGGAAACGAGGACUGUGAGCGACUCCCACAGCGUUUAAGUUUCUUGCCUGUAAAUCUCUGCUCUGCUUGGGGAGAUAAAACGGCCCAAAUGAAACGAAGACGCACGUCAAGUAUUUUUUUCUACUCAAGCAUGGCGGUGAUAAUUGGAUUGUGUGGACACCUGUGUGAGUGCAGUAUAUCCAGGGGAUUAGAGAACGGGAUAGCUUUUGCAGGUUCUGUCCAGACCUGUGGGCUGAAUUCUCCUGAUUCGUCAUCUCGCGGAGGACCAGAUCUGCACAUUUGGGGACGUCGGUGUCAGCACACGUGAAGCAUCAACUUUGACCUCUCAGUAAAUGCAUACUUUGGAGCCGUGCUAAAACAGUCGUGCAUAUGGAAUUUACUAAUGCCAUUUUGUUCUGUGUGACUCAUUUCACCAAAAUAAACUCCAAACCAUUUUUAUAAUAAAACUAUUUUAAUGCAAGAUAACUGAUUGUCUUCAAAAACGAUUAGUAAUUUCUGCCAUACGGUAUUGGUCUUUGUUAAUACAUCAAUGUAAGAAUCAUUUUGAAAUGUUUGGAGAUAGCUUUACUUGGUUUUUGAGAGAGAUUUAAUGCAUUUUAUAUGUUUAUUCAAAAAUAAAGAAAGAUGUUAUAUAUUCAUACAGUUUUAUAAUUAAGCUUCAGUCAAGUUACUAUUAAAAAGUAGUUAACUAUACUACAGUUUUAAACUACUGUAAAUCGAAGAAAAAAUACUAGAAACCAAACUUUUAUAGAACAAAGUUGAAGAUACAGAAGCUUUUAACUACAUGUUUUGCUACAAAAAAGACAGAGGGACUCAAAUGAAUCAGUGAGUCAUUUAUUUGAAUUGAUUUAUUGGAAUGAAGCAACCAAACAAAUUGAUUCACUAAAAUCAGCUGCACUUUUCAACAUUUUUCAAGCCAGUUUAGGAGAGUCUUUGAUUAUCUCAUUCAGCUAUGAAGCUUUUUGUGUAAAAUAAUGUGAUAAAAGAUGCUUUGUCAUGCUACUGGUUGAAACAUUAGUUGUUCAUUUGUUGGUAUUACUCAUUUGGAAAAUUAAUUGCUGUAUAUCAGUGACUUUUGUUCAAAAACAACAAAAGAUUGAUUGUCAGUACAUUGUUUGUCUAUUCAAAACUUUCGCCUGUCACAAUAUUGUGAUUUUUUUUUCUUAAUUGUCUUCAUUUUAAGU
This is a long non-coding RNA of Sinocyclocheilus rhinocerous, 1569 nucleotides long. RefSeq lists it as uncharacterized. NCBI's taxonomy places the organism in Eukaryota, Metazoa, Chordata, Actinopteri, Cypriniformes, Cyprinidae. The transcript is spliced from 5 exons. The record is from RefSeq and is a predicted model, not a curated record.